RNAcentral lists this transfer RNA (75 nucleotides) under Anaerolineae bacterium. Its description in RNAcentral is "tRNA-Arg". It matches the Rfam family "tRNA". From Rfam's summary of the family: Transfer RNA (tRNA) molecules are approximately 80 nucleotides in length. Their secondary structure includes four short double-helical elements and three loops (D, anti-codon, and T loops). Lineage: Bacteria; Bacillati; Chloroflexota; Anaerolineae. RNAcentral also lists the same sequence under 2 other names. The record is from RNAcentral.
GCCCUGGUAGUUCAAUGGACAGAACAAGGCACUCCUAAGGCUUAGAUGUGGGUUCGAUUCCCGCCCGGGGCAUCA